CCUACGGGGGGCAGCAGUAGGGAAUUUUCGGCAAUGGGGGGAACCCUGACCGAGCAACGCCGCGUGAACGAAGAAGUUAUUCGUAAUGUAAAGUUCUUUUAACAGGGAAGAAAGAGAAAUUUGACGGUACCUGAAGAAUAAGCUCCGGCUAACUACGUGCCAGCAGCCGCGGUAAUACGUAGGGAGCGAGGAUUAUCCGGAAUUAUUGGGCGAAAAGGGUGCGUAGAUGGAAUAGUAAGUCUUUUGUAAAAAUGCUGGGCCCAACCCAGUAGGGCAAAAGAUACUGCAAAGCUAGAGUAUGACAGAGGGUAGUGGAACUACAGGUGUAGCGGUAAAAUGCGUAAAUAUAUGUAAGAACACCAGUGGCGAAGGCGGCUUGCUGGGUCGAUACUGACAUUGAGGCGCGAAAGCGUGGGGAGCAAACAGGAUUAGAUACCCCUGUAGUC
RNAcentral lists this ribosomal RNA (446 nucleotides) under uncultured bacterium. Its description in RNAcentral is "partial 16S ribosomal RNA". It matches the Rfam family "Bacterial small subunit ribosomal RNA", at positions 338 to 795 of the family's 1533-position model. The record is from RNAcentral.